RNAcentral lists this ribosomal RNA (451 nucleotides) under uncultured bacterium. RNAcentral describes it as "partial 16S ribosomal RNA". It matches the Rfam family "Bacterial small subunit ribosomal RNA", at positions 354 to 796 of the family's 1533-position model. The record is from RNAcentral.
GUGGGGAAUAUUGGACAAUGGGGGGAACCCUGAUCCAGCCAUGCCGCGUGUGUGAAGAAGGCCUUUUGGUUGUAAAGCACUUUAAGCGAGGAGGAGGCUACCGAGAUUAAUACUCUUGGAUAGUGGACGUUACUCGCAGAAUAAGCACCGGCUAACUCUGUGCCAGCAGCCGCGGUAAUACAGAGGGUGCAAGCGUUAAUCGGAUUUACUGGGCGUAAAGCGCGCGUAGGUGGCCAAUUAAGUCAAAUGUGAAAUCCCCGAGCUUAACUUGGGAAUUGCAUUCGAUACUGGUUGGCUAGAGUAUGGGAGAGGAUGGUAGAAUUCCAGGUGUAGCGGUGAAAUGCGUAGAGAUCUGGAGGAAUACCGAUGGCGAAGGCAGCCAUCUGGCCUAAUACUGACACUGAGGUGCGAAAGCAUGGGGAGCAAACAGGAUUAGAAACCCUGGUAGUCA